AGGACGAACGCUGGCGGCGUGCUUAACACAUGCAAGUCGAGCGGAAAGGCCCUUCGGGGUACUCGAGCGGCGAACGGGUGAGUAACACGUGAGCAACCUGCCCUUAGCUUCGGGAUAGCUCCGGGAAACCGGAAUUAAUACCGAAUAUGACUUUGGCUGACAUCAGCAGAAGUGGAAAGUUUUUCGGCUAGGGAUGGACUCGCGGCCUAUCAGCUAGUUGGUGAGGUAACGGCCCACCAAGGCGACGACGGGUAGCCGGCCUGAGAGGGCGACCGGCCACACUGGGACUGAGACACGGCCCAGACUCCUACGGGAGGCAGCAGUGGGGAAUAUUGCGCAAUGGGCGAAAGCCUGACGCAGCGACGCCGCGUGGGGGAUGAAUGCCUUCGGGUUGUAACCCUUUCAGCAGGGACGAAGCGAAAGUGACGGUACCUGCAGAAGAAGCGCCGGCUAACUACGUGCCAGCAGCCGC
This 472-nucleotide ribosomal RNA is filed under the name uncultured bacterium. RNAcentral's name for it is "SSU rRNA". It matches the Rfam family "Bacterial small subunit ribosomal RNA", at positions 26 to 518 of the family's 1533-position model. The record is from RNAcentral.